This 301-nucleotide ribosomal RNA is filed under the name uncultured bacterium. RNAcentral describes it as "partial 16S ribosomal RNA". It matches the Rfam family "Bacterial small subunit ribosomal RNA", at positions 509 to 807 of the family's 1533-position model. The record is from RNAcentral.
CAGCCGCCGCGGGAAUACAGAGGAUGCAAGCGUUAUCCGGAAUGAAUGGGCGUAAAGCGUCUGUAGGUGGCUUUUCAAGUCCGCCGUCAAAUCCCAGGGCUCAACCCUGGACAGGCGGUGGAAACUACCAAGCUGGAGUACGGUAGGGGCAGAGGGAAUUUCUGGUGGAGCGGUGAGAUGCGUUGAGAUCGGAAAGAACACCAACGGCGAAAGCACCCUGCUGGGCCGACACUGACACUGAGAGACGAAAGCUAGGGGAGCAAAUGGGAUUAGAUACCCCCGUAGUCCCUGUCUCUUAUAC